GAGCAACCUGCCCCUGGCUCUGGGACAACCACUGGAAACGGUGGCUAAUACCGGAUACGACCCGCCAUCGCAUGGUGUGUGGGUGGAAAGUUUUUCGGCUGGGGAUGGGCUCGCGGCCUAUCAGCUUGUUGGUGGGGUGAUGGCCUACCAAGGCGACGACGGGUAGCCGGCCUGAGAGGGCGAUCGGCCACACUGGGACUGAGACACGGCCCAGACUCCUACGGGAGGCAGCAGUGGGGAAUAUUGCACAAUGGGCGAAAGCCUGAUGCAGCGACGCCGCGUGAGGGAUGACGGCCUUCGGGUUGUAAACCUCUUUCAGCUCCGAAGAAGCGAGAGUGACGGUAGGAGCAGAAGAAGCACCGGCUAACUACGUGCCAGCAGCCGCGGUAAUACGUAGGGUGCAAGCGUUGUCCGGAAUUAUUGGGCGUAAAGAGCUCGUAGGCGGUGUGUCGCGUCUGCUGUGAAAACUCAGGGCUCAACUCUGAGCUUGCAGUGGGUACGGGCACACUAGAGUGCUGUAGGGGAGACUGGAAUUCCUGGU
Molecule: ribosomal RNA, 541 nt
Filed under: uncultured bacterium
Lineage: Bacteria
Description: bacterial SSU rRNA
Rfam family: Bacterial small subunit ribosomal RNA
Source: RNAcentral